UCAAUCUGAUGUAUCUAUGUCUAUAAAGAUGUUGCUAUUUUAUCCAGUGUUCCAUGAACACACCAAGUAGUCUUCAGCUUUACUAAUGCUGUACCAUUUCUUAGCUAACCGGACAAGCAGCUUGCUGCUCUUUGAAGGGAAGUCUAAACUGGAUGGCUCUAGAGGUACUCUGCUUUUGUUAACGUUAAUGCGGCAUUCUUUUUUAGUUGUGGCGGAAUGAUGGAAUAAUAUGUCUUGCAACUCAUACAAUCCUUGAUGGUGAAUAAUUACAGCACGGAUCUCAAUCAUACUGCCGACAUGUGGAGUUUGGGAUGUACUAUUACCGAAAUGAUUACUGGGAAACCUCCUUGGACUAUGAGUGAGUAAGUACGCUGCACUGUUUUUUUUUUUUUUCAUUUUCUCUCUAUCCUUCCUGGUAAUACGCUUCCAAGCAAAUCUGUGUUGUCGUUUUCUGUUGGAAGUUCGGGCCAUGCGCAUUACCAUUUGGUGUGUGAUCUGUGUCAUGAGUUUCUAUUUAAGGUUGAAUUAUUAAUGCAGGCUCAAGCUAUAUUUAAGGUGAUGCGAAGUUCUCCAGUAAUACCUGAGACGUUAUCUGCCGAGGGAAAGUAGCUGCGGAGAGGCCUUCUGCUGCUAUGCUACUUGAGCAUGCUUUCCUGCAAAUUUGAAGUUGCAAAUGAUUGACUUAUUUCAAGUGUUGUACGUUGUCGCAAAAGGGAUUUGUUGUCCUGUAAAGUUCCAUAUUUACUAAACCAAAAGGAUCACACGGUCCAUAGAUGUGAUGAAGUACUUGUAUAUUGACAAAAUAAGGCACAUACUUCUCUUGCAUGGUCUGACUGGCGGCAUACCAAUCUAGGCAAUUUGACAGUGUUGCUUAAUCUAAACCUUUUACUGCAUAGUGCA
Molecule: long non-coding RNA, 900 nt
Filed under: Eucalyptus grandis
Lineage: Eukaryota; Viridiplantae; Streptophyta; Magnoliopsida; Myrtales; Myrtaceae
Description: long non-coding RNA (EGRA_LNC003557)
Source: RNAcentral